Molecule: non-coding RNA, 90 nt
Organism: Lophiostoma macrostomum CBS 122681
Lineage: Eukaryota; Fungi; Ascomycota; Dothideomycetes; Pleosporales; Lophiostomataceae
Source: the annotation of a GenBank genome assembly
UCUCUGGUAGUAUAGUGGUUAGUAUUCCGGCUUGUCAUCCCCUUACGUGACAAAGCGCCGGCGACCUGAGUUCGAUCCUCAGCCAGAGAG